GCGAGUAUGGCCCUCACGGGUCUAAUCCACCAUAAACACCUUUGUGAACCAGUCAGGGGGACUCGGCCGUGAAAGCCCAGGCGACUAGCGGAAGGGCCCUCCUUUGCAAACCCGUUUAGAAGUCUUGAAAGUACUUUUGUAUAAUCUAGUA
Molecule: unclassified non-coding RNA, 151 nt
Filed under: soil metagenome
Description: partial internal transcribed spacer 1
Source: RNAcentral